GUAGUCUCGCACAGAUGCAUAUCAAUAAGCGGAGGAAAAGAAACUAACAAGGAUUCCCCUAGUAACGGCGAGUGAAGCGGGAAGAGCUCAAAUUUGAAAUCUUAAAGGGUUUCCCUUUACGAAUUGUAGUUUAAAGAAGUGUUUUCUGUUGAGGUUUUGGUAAAAGUUCUUUGGAAUAGGACAUCAUAGAGGGUGAGAAUCCCGUAUUUGACCUUUACUUUCAACUUUGUGAUACACUUUCAAAGAGUCGGAUUGUUUGGGAAUGCAGUCCAAAAUGGGUGGUAAAUUUCAUCUAAAGCUAAAUAUUGGCGAGAGACCGAUAGCGAACAAGUACCGUGAGGGAAAGAUGAAAAGAACUUUGAAAAGAGAGUUAAACAGUACGUGAGAUUGUCAAAAGGGAAGCGUUUGACACCAGUGUUGUUUUUCUGAAAAUCAAUUAAAGAACUGUUUAUGCUAAGUUGUUUAGACUUUAUCAGCUAACUGUUUAGUUUUGAGCUUUUCUUUAAUGCACUUUUCAGUUAACAAGUCAACAUCAAUUUCUUUUGCUGUAAAUAAGCUUGAGGAAGGUGGCUUGAGAUUCGUCUUAAGUGUUUAUAGCCUCUUGCCUAUGCAGUCGGAGAGAUUGAGGUCUGCAGCGUAGAUCCUUCGGGGCUAAAUGCAUUUGUGCUAAGUUAUAGCAUUUUAUAGACAACUUGUUGACUAUGAUUUGUCUUGUAGCUUACUCGCUUAUGUUAUUUUACCUACGCUUAGGAUGUUGACAGCAGUAUAGACUGU
RNAcentral lists this ribosomal RNA (774 nucleotides) under uncultured Neocallimastigales. RNAcentral describes it as "partial large subunit ribosomal RNA". It matches the Rfam family "Eukaryotic large subunit ribosomal RNA", at positions 24 to 637 of the family's 3401-position model. Lineage: Eukaryota; Fungi; Neocallimastigomycota; Neocallimastigomycetes; Neocallimastigales. The record is from RNAcentral.